GACGAACGCUGGCGGCGUGCUUAACACAUGCAAGUCGAACGGAAAGGCCCUGCUUUUGUGGGGUGCUCGAGUGGCGAACGGGUGAGUAACACGUGAGUAACCUGCCCUUGACUUUGGGAUAACUUCAGGAAACUGGGGCUAAUACCGGAUAGGAGCUCCUGCUGCAUGGUGGGGGUUGGAAAGUUUCGGCGGUUGGGGAUGGACUCGCGGCUUACCAGCUUGUUGGUGGGGUAGUGGCUUACCAAGGCUUUGACGGGUAGCCGGCCUGAGAGGGUGACCGGCCACAUUGGGACUGAGAGACGGCCCAGACUCCUACGGGAGGCAGCAGUGGGGAAUAUUGCACAAUGGGCGGAAGCCUGAUGCAGCAACGCCGCGUGCGGGAUGACGGCCUUCGGGUUGUAAACCGCUUUCGCCUGUGACGAAGCGUGAGUGACGGUAAUGGGUAAAGAAGCACCGGCUAACUACGUG
This 468-nucleotide ribosomal RNA is filed under the name uncultured bacterium. RNAcentral's name for it is "partial 16S ribosomal RNA". It matches the Rfam family "Bacterial small subunit ribosomal RNA", at positions 28 to 507 of the family's 1533-position model. The record is from RNAcentral.